Hyaena hyaena (striped hyena) is the source of this 979-nucleotide long non-coding RNA. RefSeq lists it as uncharacterized. The record is from RefSeq and is a predicted model, not a curated record. Lineage: Eukaryota; Metazoa; Chordata; Mammalia; Carnivora; Hyaenidae. The transcript has 3 exons.
CGAAAGCGCCCCGCCAGAAUGACUCAGCACUUUCUCUCGUUGUGGGCGGGCUAGGGCGUGGAAGAUUGAUUGUAAUACCCAGAACAAUGAGUCCCUGUUUCAAGACUUCAGGCUUUUGUUCAAGUAUGAAGACUGUUCCCUCCUAGUUGGCCUAGAGAAAAUGAUUUUCAAGACUCGGCUGAAGCAUGACUUCCUCUGAAACUGUUCCUGACCUCGGCUCAUCCCCAGAAUUCCUCUGAAGCUGUUCUGGCUUUUGCUCAUCCCCAGAAUUUACCAUUCCAUCCUUUCUGUCCACACAAUAUCCUGAUACCGAAAAGCUAUACAAAAUAUCUCUUAAGCUAUUUUACAUGUUUACAGGCCUGCCCCUACUUGCUAGACUUUCUGGAAAGUAAGGUUUGGGUUACUUCCAUCUCUGUGUCCCCAAGACACAACAGAGCACCUAAUAUAAAAUAGGGCCACUCUGCCGUUGACAGAUGGGAAAGAAAGAAAGACCAUGGACAAAAGGCUCUGAGAAAUCAUACCUAUGGAAAAGAAGAGCUUUACCUCUGGGCAAGAAGGCUUCACUGAUUCAUUCCCAGCCUCAACCACACCUUUAACCACAAAGUAGGAUCCCGCCUUUCACGGCACCCUUAGUCAUGUUCCCUUAGCCAGCCCCUCUGUAAGCUGUAAUUCUGCAACUAAAGAUAUUCUCUCCUCCCACCUUCCCCAGAGGUACAUCAGGGCUGACAAAGUAGACCCUAAUCUGAGAACUCUAAGACCAGAGUGGGAGAAGAGUCAGGGCUAUCCCAUAUGGCUGAGCAGUUUGGGCAACUGACCAAAGAGGUUAAUGGAGACCUGCCCAUAACUAGAUCAUCAUGUAUGGUUUGCCAAGCUAGGAUAAAUGACCUUUUCUAAUUCUGAGGUAAUAUAGAAUAAAAAAUUCUGGUUCAUAGCAGCACUCUCAACAAUAGCUAAAACAUGGAAAGAGCCUAAGUGUCCA